UGAUCUAAAGGAAACAGAGGUGAC
This 24-nucleotide non-coding RNA is filed under the name Rattus norvegicus (Norway rat). Lineage: Eukaryota; Metazoa; Chordata; Mammalia; Rodentia; Muridae. The record is from RNAcentral.